AAAAACUCCGGUGGUGUAAGAUGGACCCGCGUCUGAUUAGCUGGUUGGUGAGGUAACGGCUCACCAAGGCGACGAUCAGUAGCCGGCCUGAGAGGGUGAACGGCCACAUUGGGACUGAGACACGGCCCAAACUCCUACGGGAGGCAGCAGUGGGGAAUAUUGCACAAUGGGGGAAACCCUGAUGCAGCAACGCCGCGUGAGUGAAGAAGUCAUUCGUGAUGUAAAGCUCUAUCAGCAGGGAAGAAAAUGACGGUACCUGACUAAGAAGCCCCGGCUAACUACGUGCCAGCAGCCGCGGUAAUACGUAGGGGGCAAGCGUUAUCCGGAUUUACUGGGUGUAAAGGGAGCGUAGACGGCGACGCAAGUCUGAAGUGAAAUGCCAGUGCUCAACACUGGAACUGCUUUGGAAACUGUGUGGCUAGAGUGCAGGAGAGGUAAGUGGAAUUCCUAGUGUAGCGGUGAAAUGCGUAGAUAUUAGGAGGAACACCAGUGGCGAAGGCGGCUUACUGGACUGUAACUGACGUUGAGGCUCGAAGGCGUGGGGAGCAAACAGGAUUAGAUACCCUGGUAGUCCACGCGGUAAACGAUGAUUACUAGGUGUCGGGGGGCUAUAGCCCUUCG
Molecule: ribosomal RNA, 621 nt
Filed under: uncultured bacterium
Lineage: Bacteria
Description: bacterial SSU rRNA
Rfam family: Bacterial small subunit ribosomal RNA
Source: RNAcentral